Molecule: ribosomal RNA, 257 nt
Filed under: uncultured bacterium
Lineage: Bacteria
Description: partial 16S ribosomal RNA
Rfam family: Bacterial small subunit ribosomal RNA
Source: RNAcentral
UACGUAGGGAGCAAGCGUUGUCCGGAAUCAUUGGGCGUAAAGCGCGCGUAGGUGGUCCCGUAAGUCCGCUGUGAAAGUCAAAGGCUCAACCCUUUUGAAAAGCCGAUGGAUACUGUGAGACUAGAGUACGGAAGAGGCGAGUGGAAUUCCUGGUGUAGCGGUGGAAUGCGCAGAUAUCAGGAGGAACACCAAUAGCGAAGGCAGCUCGCUGGGACGUUACUGACACUGAGGCGCGAAAGCGUGGGGGAGCGAACAGG